Molecule: ribosomal RNA, 275 nt
Filed under: uncultured bacterium
Lineage: Bacteria
Description: partial 16S ribosomal RNA
Rfam family: Bacterial small subunit ribosomal RNA
Source: RNAcentral
CUACGGAGGGUGCAAGCGUUACUCGGAAUCACUGGGCGUAAAGCGCGCGCAGGCGGCUAUUUAAGUUGGAUGUGAAAGCCUACGGCUCAACCGUAGAACUGCAUCCAAAACUAUUUAGCUAGAGUGUGGGAGAGGAAGAUGGAAUUAGUUGUGUAGGGGUAAAAUCCGUAGAGAUAACUAGGAAUACCAAAAGCGAAGGCAAUCUUCUGGAACACUACUGACGCUGAGGCGCGAAAGCGUGGGGAGCAAACGGGAUUAGAAACCCUUGUAGUCCC